UGGGGAUUAUUGGACAAUGGGGGGAACCCUGAUCCAGCCAUGCCGCGUGUGUGAAGAAGGCCUUAUGGUUGUAAAGCACUUUAAGCGAGGAGGAGGGUACUGGUAUUAAUACUACCAGGUACUGGACGUUACUCGCAGAAUAAGCACUGGCUAACUCUGUGCCAGCAGCCGCGGUAAUACAGAGGGUGCGAGCGUUAAUCGGAUUUACUGGGCGUAAAGCGUGCGUAGGCGGCUAAUUGAGUCGGAUGUGAAAUCACCGAGCUUAACUUGGGAAUUGCAUUCGAUACUGGUUAGCUAGAGUGUGGGAGAGGAUGGUAGAAUUCCAGGUGUAGCGGUGAAAUGCGUAGAGAUCUGGAGGAAUACCGAUGGCGAAGGCAGCCAUCUGGCCUAACACUGACGCUGAGGUACGAAAGCAUGGGGAGCAAACAAG
RNAcentral lists this ribosomal RNA (430 nucleotides) under Pseudomonadota bacterium. Its description in RNAcentral is "Proteobacteria bacterium partial 16S ribosomal RNA". It matches the Rfam family "Bacterial small subunit ribosomal RNA", at positions 355 to 776 of the family's 1533-position model. The record is from RNAcentral. Lineage: Bacteria; Pseudomonadati; Pseudomonadota.